GAAGAGAAGAAACUGUAGGAAGUCAAAAAACUUAUCUCCAAUUUUGCUAACAGUGUUCUAUGUCGGAUUCCAUCAAUCUCUCUCUCUCUCUCUUCCAUCAUCUGUCACUUUCUUUGUUUUCUACGCAACAAGAAACCGAACCAAAAAAAAAAAACAAAUUUACUAAAUUAAUCACCCAAAAAAAUAACCCACUAAAAAGCAAACGAAUCCAAGAACAUGGAAACAAAAAAAAAUGUGUAAGAAAAGGAAAAAUAAAAUUUAAAAAAACAUCAAGCGUGGGCUGAAAAUCACUACACACUAAAAAAUCUGAAUUUUUAUAUUUUC
Molecule: long non-coding RNA, 324 nt
Filed under: Capsella rubella
Lineage: Eukaryota; Viridiplantae; Streptophyta; Magnoliopsida; Brassicales; Brassicaceae
Description: long non-coding RNA (CRUB_LNC003345)
Source: RNAcentral